GGCAAUUACGAUUCAAAUUAAACGGUUGACGAUCAAACAAGUGGGCAACGACAGCCACAUUACAGCGUUUCAUGUGACCGCUGCCAACAACCACUGCUUUAUGACUCCUUAGUCUGAACUCUGGAGAAUCGCCAAAACAAGAACGUCUUCAGAUGCUCAUGCUUUCUAUUGCGACC
Molecule: long non-coding RNA, 176 nt
Organism: Papilio xuthus (Asian swallowtail)
Lineage: Eukaryota; Metazoa; Arthropoda; Insecta; Lepidoptera; Papilionidae
Exons: 2
Source: RefSeq, a predicted model, not a curated record